This 373-nucleotide unclassified non-coding RNA is filed under the name uncultured fungus. RNAcentral's name for it is "partial contains 5.8S ribosomal RNA and internal transcribed spacer 2". The stretch from base 1 to 133 matches the Rfam family "5.8S ribosomal RNA", at positions 22 to 154 of the family's 154-position model. Lineage: Eukaryota; Fungi. The record is from RNAcentral.
UGGCUCUCGCAUCGAUGAAGAACGCAGCGAAAUGCGAUAAGUAAUGUGAAUUGCAGAAUUCAGUGAAUCAUCGAAUCUUUGAACGCACCUUGCGCCCUUUGGUAUUCCGAUGGGCAUGCCUGUUUGAGUGUCUUGAAAUCAUCAAACCCCCGGUUUUGCGAUUGCGGGGAUUGGACUUGGGGGCUCUGCUGCCGCGAGGUGGCUCCCCUUAAAUGCAUCGGUCGGGCCUACUGGGGCUCCGUCACCUGGGCGUUGUAUUACCCUCGCUCUGCCGACGUGCCUCAGCUUUGCGUGCCCGACCCCGACUUGCCUCUGGAGCGGCAGUCAACACUCUUUGAGAUCUGACCUCAAAUCAGGUAGGACUACCCGCUGA